This 497-nucleotide ribosomal RNA is filed under the name uncultured bacterium. RNAcentral describes it as "partial 16S ribosomal RNA". It matches the Rfam family "Bacterial small subunit ribosomal RNA", at positions 28 to 507 of the family's 1533-position model. The record is from RNAcentral.
GAUGAACGCUGGCGGCGUGCCUAAUACAUGCAAGUCGAGCGAACAGAUGAGGAGCUUGCUCCUCUGACGUUAGCGGCGGACGGGUGAGUAACACGUGGAUAACCUACCUAUAAGACUGGGAUAACUUCGGGAAACCGGAGCUAAUACCGGAUAAUAUAUUGAACCGCAUGGUUCAAUAGUGAAAGACGGUUUUGCUGUCACUUAUAGAUGGAUCCGCGCCGCAUUAGCUAGUUGGUAAGGUAACGGCUUACCAAGGCAACGAUGCGUAGCCGACCUGAGAGGGGGAUCGGCCACACUGGAACUGAUACACGGUCCAGACUCCUACGGGAGGCAGCAGUAGGGAAUCUUCCGCAAUGGUCGAAAGCCUGACGGAGCAACGCCGCGUGAGUGAUGAAGGUCUUCGGAUCGUAAAACUCUGUUAUUAGGGAAGAACAAAUGUGUAAGUAACUAUGCACGUCUUGACGGUACCUAAUCAGAAAGCCACGGCUAACUACGUG